UACGUAGGGUGCAAGCGUUAAUCGGAAUUACUGGGCGUAAAGCGUGCGCAGGCGGUUCUAUAAGACAGAUGUGAAAUCCCCGGGCUCAACCUGGGAACUGCAUUCGAGACUGAAUAGCUAGGGUACGGUAGAGGGAAGCGGAAUUUCCGGUGUAGCGGUGAAAUGCGUAGAUAUCGGAAGGAACAUCAGUGGCGAAAGCGGCUUCCUGGACCAGUACCGACGUUCAGGCACGAAAGCGUGGGGAGCAAACAGG
Molecule: ribosomal RNA, 253 nt
Filed under: uncultured bacterium
Lineage: Bacteria
Description: partial 16S ribosomal RNA
Rfam family: Bacterial small subunit ribosomal RNA
Source: RNAcentral